GCAGGGGUAUCGAAGCCCGGUCAACCGAGAAGGACUCAAGAUCCUUUCCUUUAGGGGUUCGUGGGUUCAAAUCCCACCUCCUGCACCA
This 88-nucleotide transfer RNA is filed under the name Candidatus Nitrosopumilus sp. RNAcentral describes it as "Nitrosopumilus sp. tRNA-Leu". It matches the Rfam family "tRNA". Rfam says of the family: Transfer RNA (tRNA) molecules are approximately 80 nucleotides in length. Their secondary structure includes four short double-helical elements and three loops (D, anti-codon, and T loops). The record is from RNAcentral. RNAcentral also lists the same sequence under 4 other names. Lineage: Archaea; Thermoproteati; Nitrososphaerota; Nitrososphaeria; Nitrosopumilales; Nitrosopumilaceae.